Molecule: ribosomal RNA, 1433 nt
Filed under: Triticum aestivum (bread wheat)
Lineage: Eukaryota; Viridiplantae; Streptophyta; Magnoliopsida; Poales; Poaceae
Description: partial small subunit ribosomal RNA
Source: RNAcentral
CCUUACUCAAAGUCGCAACUAGUAUGGAUACGACGUGGACAGUCCGAUCUCACACCAUUUUUUCAUAUUAUAUACAAUCUCACAGAUCCCAUGGCGUGUGCAGUGUGCUGUAUAAAUUAGUGGAUGCCUCCACCUUCAUCGACCACCUCCAUUGAUCAAAGAUCAGAGCUCAGGAGCUCAGGAGCUCGCAGCAAUGGAGCCGCAUGCCGAGUCCAAGCCCAUCCCGCUGAUGACGCCGUACAAGAUGGGCUCCUCGCUCGACCUCGCCCACCGGGUGGUGCUGGCGCCGCUGACGCGGCAGCGCUCCUACGGCAACGUGCCGCAGCCGCACGCCGCCGUCUACUACGGCCAGCGCGCCACGCCCGGCGGGAUGCUCAUCACCGAGGCCACGGGGGUCUCCGACACGGCGCAGGGGUACACCGACACCCCGGGCGUCUGGACGGCGGAGCAGGCGGAGGCGUGGCGCCCCGUCGUCGACGCCGUGCACGCCAAGGGCGCCCUCUUCUUCUGCCAGCUCUGGCACGUCGGCCGCGUCUCGUCCUACGGCUUCCAGCCCGGCGGCGCCGCGCCCGUGUCCAGCACCCAGAGGAUGGUCGGCCCGCAGGUCAGGCACGACGGCACCACCGAGGAGUUCUCGCCGCCCAGGAGGCUGGCCGUGGAGGAGAUCCCCAUGAUCGUCGACGACUUCAGGAAAGCUGCACGGAACGCCAUCAACGCCGGCUUCGACGGCGUGGAGAUCCACGGCGGCAACGGGUACCUCAUCGAGCAGUUCCUCAAGGACAGUGCCAACGACCGGGACGACGGCUAUGGCGGCAGCCUGGAGAACCGGUGCCGCUUCGCGCUGGAGGUGGUGGACGCCGUCGCCAAGGAGGUGGGCGCCCACCGUGUGGGUAUCCGCCUCUCGCCCUUCAUGGACUACAUGGACUGCCACGACUCCGACCCGCACGCGCUCGGUCUCCACAUGGCCACGAAGCUCAACGACCACGGCAUCCUCUACCUCCACAUGAUUGAGCCCCGGAUGGCCCUCGUUGACGGCCGGCGGGUGGUCCCGCACCGACUACUUCCCUACAGGGAGGCCUUCAAGGGCACCUUUAUUGCGAAUGGCGGGUACGACCGGGAGGAUGGGGACAAGGCGGUCGCAUCGGGGUACGCCGACCUCGUCUCGUUUGGGCGGCUAUUCCUGGCAAACCCAGACCUGCCCAAGAGGCUAGAGCUCAACGCGCCGCUUAACAAGUACAAUAGGAUGACGUUCUACAUCUCCGAUCCCGUCGUCGGCUACACCGACUACCCGUUUCUUCCUUGAUGUGUCAUUGAACCAUGGAUAAUGAUUGAUAUUAUGUCAUUUCUACCGUGAAUAAUGUGUCACUCACUCAUUGUCAUGUGAAUUUCAAAUGGAACCUUUUCUUUAUCCCAGCUCUUCCCUUUUUACCCGC